UAGUACACUGUAAUGAAUUGCUGUAAAAAUUACAGCAUUAUUUUACAGCCGCGGGCUGUUUUUUAAUAAUACAGCAUAUUGCUGUAAACUGCAAUACAUUCUGGGGUCACGUGUAGGUCUGACUCAAAUAUACAGAAUUUUGCUGUAAAUUUCAAAUCUUCAGAGCCGCAUCGUUACGUCUUCAACGGUCGAGGAGAUUAACGUUAAAGGCAAGAGGAGUGAUUCAAAACUGUGGAGACACUUUGACAAGUGGGCACUGGAUGCUGAGUAUUGAAGGCGAGGUUGUGUGUGAGGGCCCAGUUUCCUGUCCGGCCUUGCCACUCUGUUAGCUGCUUAUUACUUGUUUAAUCUUGAGUACCAAGAGGAAGCAGUGUGUACCUUGGAGUUCAUUCAAAGGUAAUGGUUUUGGGUGCUCUGUGAGAGAGGAACCAAAGCCAAGGGAAAAGUGCCAUCGAAAAAAAAAAACAGGACAAGUGAUACAGAGGAAAAUGUGUGGCAGUCAACCCACAUGUUGCCACUCUUCUGUGCAAAGUAAUGGAUUUCCAAUGGAAUUCACACUUUGAAUCCUGGGAUGGAACUUCAUCUGGAGCAUAAUUGUUAUUUGGUCGAUUUUUAUCUGUUUUUGAUGGAAAGUUUGUAUGAAUUCUUUGGCCAAAUCGGUCUAUUCUUUAAGUGAUGAAAGCUAUCUGAAAUUUUCUUUGUGGUUUUUAAAGGAUUAGUUCACCCAAAAAUGAAAAUUCAGUCAAUAAUUACUUAUGUCGUUCCACACCCGUAAGAUCUUUGUUCAUCUUCACAACACACAUUAAGAUAUUUUUGAUGAAAUCCAAUGGCUCAGUGAAGCCUGCAUUUCUAGCAAGAUCAUUUAUUUUUUCAAUGCCCAGAAAGCCACUAAAACAUUUAAAACAGUUCAUGUGACUACAGUGGUUCAACCUAAAUAUUAUAAAGCGACGAGAAUAAUUUUUGUGCGACAAAAACCCCCCCAAAACAAUGAUUUUAUUCAACAAUAUCUAGUGAUGGGCGAUCUCAAAACACUGCUCAAUGAAGCUUAGAAGCUUUAUGAACCUUUUGUUUUUAAAUCAUUUGCUCGGAACGUGUAUCAAACUGCAAAAGUCACAUGAACUAUUGAAAUUUCAAAACACUUAUGACGUAACGAAGCCUCGUUUACUGAAAUCAUGUGACUUUGGCAGUUUGAUAUGCUAUGAUCUGAACCAAAAGAUUCAUAAAGCUUUGAAGCUUCAUGAAGCAGUGUUUUUAAAAAAAUCAUCCAUCACGAGAUAUUGUUGAAUAGUCAUUAUUUUGUUUUUUGGCACACAAAAAGUAUUCUCAUCGCUUCAUUACACUAAGGUUGAACCACUGUAGUCACAUAAACGGUUUUAAAUAUGUUUUUAGUACCUUUUUUGGGCAUUGGAAAAGGAAAUGAUCUUGCUAGCAAUGUAGGCCUCACUGGGCCAUCAGGUUUUAUAAAAAAUAUCUUAAUGUGUGUUGUGAAGAAGAACAAAGGUCUUAAGGGUGUGGAAUGACAUGAGGGUGAGAAAUGACAGAAUUAUC
This is a long non-coding RNA of Carassius carassius (crucian carp), 1548 nucleotides long. RefSeq lists it as uncharacterized. The transcript is spliced from 4 exons. The record is from RefSeq and is a predicted model, not a curated record. NCBI's taxonomy places the organism in Eukaryota, Metazoa, Chordata, Actinopteri, Cypriniformes, Cyprinidae.